GACGUAGGGUGCGAGCGUUGUCCGGAAUUACUGGGCGUAAAGAGCUCGUAGGUGGUUUGUCGCGUUGUUCGUGAAAACCGGAGGCUUAACCUUCGGCAUGCGGGCGAUACGGGCAGACUGGAGUACUGCAGGGGAGACUGGAAGUCCUGGUGUAGCGGUGGAAUGCGCAGAUAUCAGGAGGAACACCGGUGGCGAAGGCGGGUCUUUGGGCAGUAACUGACGCGGAGGAGCGAAAGCGUGGGGAGCGAACAGG
This 253-nucleotide ribosomal RNA is filed under the name uncultured bacterium. RNAcentral's name for it is "partial 16S ribosomal RNA". It matches the Rfam family "Bacterial small subunit ribosomal RNA", at positions 524 to 776 of the family's 1533-position model. The record is from RNAcentral.